Molecule: long non-coding RNA, 117 nt
Organism: Limanda limanda (common dab)
Lineage: Eukaryota; Metazoa; Chordata; Actinopteri; Pleuronectiformes; Pleuronectidae
Exons: 2
Source: RefSeq, a predicted model, not a curated record
AGAUCAUAGUUAAACUGGCUGUGGUGGAAAUUUUGCAGAACUACAGCUUCACAGUCUGCGAGGAGACAGAGAUCCCCUUGCAGAUGAAUCCUGAAGGCCUCACUGGAACAUUAAAAC